Molecule: ribozyme, 302 nt
Organism: Nannospalax galili (Upper Galilee mountains blind mole rat)
Lineage: Eukaryota; Metazoa; Chordata; Mammalia; Rodentia; Spalacidae
Rfam family: RNase MRP
About the family: RNase MRP is an enzymatically active ribonucleoprotein with two distinct roles in eukaryotes.
Source: Ensembl
CUCCACUUUCAAAGAAUUGGUCUGCCCUAAGCUGUGCACAGGGUACUUGGUCUGCCCUAAGCUGUGCACAGGGUACUUGGUCUGCCCUAAGCUGUGCGGGAAAAGUCCCCUGACCAUGGGCAGAGGGGGAAGCCUGUGGUAGACUUCCUGCCUGCCACUCAUUAACUGGCCAGGAAGUGGUAGCGCUGCCUUGCAGGAGGCCCAGAGGCGUGUUGAGGGGAUGUCAUCUGUCAGCUCUCCUAGUUGCCCGGGCAGUGUGAUUUCAUGCACACCAGCCACACAGGGCUCAUUCUCAGCAUGGC